CCUACGGGAGGCAGCAGUGGGGAAUACUGGACAAUGGGCGAAAGCCUGAUCCAGCAAUGCCGCGUGUGUGAAGAAGGCCUUAGGGUUGUAAAGCACUUUCAGUGGGGAGGAAGUUGAGUGUGCUAAUAUCAUAUUCAAUUGACGUUACCCACAGAAGAAGCACCGGCUAACUCUGUGCCAGCAGCCGCGGUAAUACAGAGGGUGCAAGCGUUAAUCGGAAUUACUGGGCGUAAAGGGUGUGUAGGUGGUUGUGUAAGUUAGAUGUGAAAUCCCCGGGCUUAACCUGGGAACUGCGUUUAAAACUGCGUAGCUAGAGUAUUGCAGAGGGUAGUGGAAUUUCCAGUGUAGCGGUGAAAUGCGUAGAUAUUGGAAGGAACACCAGUGGCGAAGGCGACUACCUGGGCAAAUACUGACACUGAGACACGAAAGCGUGGGGAGCAAACAGGAUUAGAUACCCUGGUAGUCCAUGCUGUAAACUAUGAGAACUUGCUGUUGGAUGNAUAAGANAUUAGUAGAGAGACUACGACGUUAGUUACUCCGCCGUCGGGAGGUACGGCCGGCGACGGACGUAAACGUACGAAAGGAAGUUAGUACGGACGUAGAGACGUUGCCGACGGACGACGACGAGGGAGGAGG
Molecule: ribosomal RNA, 636 nt
Filed under: uncultured bacterium
Lineage: Bacteria
Description: bacterial SSU rRNA
Rfam family: Bacterial small subunit ribosomal RNA (bases 1-542)
Source: RNAcentral